Molecule: ribosomal RNA, 1979 nt
Filed under: human metagenome
Description: bacterial LSU rRNA
Rfam family: Bacterial large subunit ribosomal RNA
Source: RNAcentral
GGAGGUUGGCUUAGAAGCAGCCAUCCUUGAAAGAGUGCGUAAUAGCUCACUGGUCGAGUGGUUCUGCGCCGAUAAUGUAGCGGGGCUUAAGUACACCGCCGAAACCGCGGCAACACGCGUAAAGUGUGUUGGGUAGGGGAGCGUCGUGCAUGUGUUGAAGCCAUCUGGUGACAGGUGGUGGAGUGUGUGCGAGUGAGAAUGCAGGCAUGAGUAACGAUUGAUGUGUGAGAAACAUAUCCGCCGGAUGACUAAGGGUUCCUGGGUGAAGUUUGUCUUCCCAGGGUGAGUCGGGGCCUAAGGCGAGGCCGACAGGCGUAGUCGAUGGAUGACGGGUUGAUAUUCCCGUACCGGCGAAGCACCGCCCAUGCUGACGCGCGGGUGCUAACCCACGCCCAACCACCAUAUAGGCCGCAUGUGUCAGGUUCGCCUGACGGUGUGGUUGUGGUGGUGGGGUCUGGGGAUCCUCCGUGCAGGUAGGCAAGCGUGUUAACAGGGGUGACGCACAGUGGUAGCCCGGCGGACCUGAUGGCUUGGUCCGUUCAAGCGCGCAGCCCGUUUCCCAGGUAAAUCCGGGGGACUGUCUUUGAUGACGGGGGUGAGGCGUGAUGGUGACCUCACACUGGUGGGGGAUAACAGGGUGAUCCUGGGGUGCCGAGAAAAGCCUCGACGCGAUGGUGCCAGCCGCCCGUACCCUAAACCGACACAGGUGGUCGGGCAGAGUAUGCCUAGGCGCACGAGUGAAUCAUGGUUAAGGAACUCGGCAAAAUGCCCCCGUAACUUCGGGAGAAGGGGGGCCCUGAGCGUGAUCUGCCCGUGCGGUGGGGAGCGUGUAGGGGUCGCAGAGACCAGGGGGAAGCGACUGUUUAUCAAAAACACAGGUCCGUGCGAAGUCGUAAGACGAGGUAUACGGACUGACUCCUGCCCGGUGCUGGAAGGUUAAGAGGAUUGGUUAGCCCUGUGUGGGCGAAGCUGAGAAUUUAAGCCCCAGUAAACGGCGGUGGUAACUAUAACCAUCCUAAGGUAGCGAAAUUCCUUGUCGGGUAAGUUCCGACCUGCACGAAUGGCGUAACGACUUCCCUGCUGUCUCAACCACAGGCCCGGUGAAAUUGCAGUACGAGUAAAGAUGCUCGUUUCGCGCGGCAGGACGAAAAGACCCCGGGACCUUUACUAUAGCUUGGUAUUGGUGUUUGGUCAUGCUUGUGUAGGAUAGGUGGGAGACUGUGAAGCCGCAACGCUAGUUGUGGUGGAGUCGGCCAGUGAAAUACCACUCUGGUGUGAUUGGGUACCUGAACCUUGGCCCGUGAUCCGGGUUGGGGACAGUGCCUGGUGGGUAGUUUAACUGGGGCGGUUGCCUCCUAAAUGGUAACGGAGGCGCCCAAAGGUUUCCUCAGUCUGGUUGGCAAUCAGAUGGUGAGUGUAAGUGUAUAAGGGAGCUUGACUGUGACACUGACGGGUGGAGCAGGUGCGAAAGCAGGGACUAGUGAUCCGGCAUCUACGUGUGGUUGUGGUGUCGCUCAACGGAUAAAAGGUACCCCGGGGAUAACAGGCUGAUCUUCCCCAAGAGUUCAUAUCGACGGGAUGGUUUGGCACCUCGAUGUCGGCUCGUCGCAUCCUGGGGCUGGAGUAGGUCCCAAGGGUUGGGCUGUUCGCCCAUUAAAGCGGCACGCGAGCUGGGUUUAGAACGUCGUGAGACAGUUCGGUCUCUAUCCGCCGCGCGCGUUGAAACUUGAAGAAGGCUGUCCCUAGUACGAGAGGACCGGGAUGGACGUACCUCUGGUAUGCCAGUUGUCACGCCAGUGGCAUGGCUGGUUAGCUACGUGCGGGAGGGAUAACCGCUGAAAGCAUCUAAGCGGGAAGCCUGUUUUGAGAUGAGGUUUCUGUUGAGGUUCCCUAUAGAUGAUGGGGUUGAUAGGCCAGGGCUGUGAGCAUGGUGACGUGUUGGAGGUGACUGGUACUAAUACACCGACACAAAAAACACA